UACGGGGGGGGCAAGCGUUGUUCGGAAUUACUGGGCGUAAAGGGUUCGUAGGUGGCCAACUAAGUCAGACGUGAAAUCCCUCAGCUUAACUGGGGAACUGCGUCUGAGACUGGAUGGCUUGAGUGCAGGAGAGGAACGCGGAAUUCCAGGUGUAGCGGUGAAAUGCGUAGAUAUCUGGAGGAACACCGGUGGCGAAGGCGGCGUCCUGGACUGCAACUGACACUGAUGAACGAAAGCCAGGGGAGCAAACGGG
This 253-nucleotide ribosomal RNA is filed under the name uncultured bacterium. RNAcentral describes it as "partial 16S ribosomal RNA". It matches the Rfam family "Bacterial small subunit ribosomal RNA", at positions 524 to 776 of the family's 1533-position model. The record is from RNAcentral.